RNAcentral lists this ribosomal RNA (217 nucleotides) under uncultured eukaryote. Its description in RNAcentral is "partial 18S ribosomal RNA". The record is from RNAcentral.
UCGUGGAGUGAUCUGUCUGCUUAAUUGCGUAUCACACAGGGCGUUUAACAUGUACGUGUCGUUCGUUGGUGACGCCUUUCUUCGGAGAGCUGCCUGUCCCCUACGGCCGUACAUAGACUGUCCCUGCAUGCAACGAACGUGACCGCAACCUCUUGUUGCUUCUCUUACAAGGUGUGUUGAUCGAAUUCGUUCUUUCAUCAUACUAGCAGAAUGCAAA